AGGAGUAACAUGUGAUUGUUAUGC
RNAcentral lists this non-coding RNA (24 nucleotides) under Arabidopsis thaliana (thale cress). The record is from RNAcentral. Lineage: Eukaryota; Viridiplantae; Streptophyta; Magnoliopsida; Brassicales; Brassicaceae.